AGAGUUUGAUCAUGGCUCAGAAUCAACGCUGGCGGCGUGCCUCAGACAUGCAAGUCGAACGAUUAAAGCUCUCUUCGGAGAGUGCAUAGAGUGGCGCACGGGUGAGUAACACGUAAGUAAUCUACCCUCGAGUGGGGAAUAACGUCCGGAAACGGACGCUAAUACCGCAUAAUGCAGCGGCACCGCAAGGUGACAGUUGUUAAAGGAGAAAUUCGCUUGAGGAGGAGCUUGCGGCAGAUUAGCUUGUUGGUAAGGUAACGGCUUACCAAGGCUACGAUCUGUAACCGGUCUUAGAGGACGGUCGGUCACACUGACACUGAAUAACGGGUCAGACUCCUACGGGAGGCAGCAGUCGGGAAUUUUGGGCAAUGGGCGAAAGCCUGACCCAGCAACGCCGCGUGAAGGAUGAAGUAUUUCGGUAUGUAAACUUCGAAAGAAUAGGAAGAAUAAAUGACGGUACUAUUUAUAAGGUCCGGCUAACUACGUGCCAGCAGCCGCGGUAAUACGUAGGGACCAAGCGUUGUUCGGAUUUACUGGGCGUAAAGGGCGCGUAGGCGGCUUUGUAAGUCACUUGUGAAAUCUCCGGGCUUAACUCGGAACGGCCAAGUGAUACUGCAAUGCUAGAGUGCAGAAGGGGCAAUCGGAAUUCUUGGUGUAGCGGUGAAAUGCAGAUAUCAAGAGGAACACCUGAGGUGAAGACGGGUUGCUGGGCUGACACUGACGCUGAUGCGCGAAAGCCAGGGGAGCAAACGGGAUUAGAUACCCUAGUAGUCC
Molecule: ribosomal RNA, 774 nt
Filed under: uncultured bacterium
Lineage: Bacteria
Description: bacterial SSU rRNA
Rfam family: Bacterial small subunit ribosomal RNA
Source: RNAcentral